RNAcentral lists this long non-coding RNA (500 nucleotides) under Neogobius melanostomus (round goby). Its description in RNAcentral is "lncRNA (ENSNMLG00000016866.1)". The record is from RNAcentral. Lineage: Eukaryota; Metazoa; Chordata; Actinopteri; Gobiiformes; Gobiidae.
GAUUAUUGUUGUGUCGUCUGCGUAUUGAAGAAUGGAUACUGAGUUGUGUGAGGAUGUGAGCAUAUUUGUGUAGAGGAAGAACAACCAGGGCGAUAGGACGAACCCCUGGGGUGCACCGGUGCUGAUGGUCGGGGGUUGGGUUAAGAGGCCACUCAUCCUAACCCUCUGUGUCCUUUCUGACAGGAAGCUCCUAAUCCAGUGGCACAGGGAGAUGUCAAUAUCCAUGUGUAGCAGAGCGAGGUUCUUAACCUUAGCUUUAGGACACACAGGCAAGAGUCCUCCAACAAGUCCCCGCCAACCGCUGGACAGACCCAGAUCACGGACACAUGAAGACAAGACAAGACAGCGAUGGGCAGCGCUGGUGCUACUGCUGUAGAGCCGGAAGCUCCUAAUCCAGUGGCACAGGGAGAUGUCAAUAUCCAUGUGUAUCAGAGCGAGGUUCUUAACCUUAGCUUUAGGACACACAGGUAAGUUCCAUUGAUGAAGGGCACAAGUGUUCC